AUGCGACGGCAGGCUCCAUGCUYCGGCAUCGAACUGUCGCCUCGCGCCCCUCGUCAGUUUACGCAUCAAGAUUGGCUUGUGCGAAUGUCGGGUUCCUGUGUUGCCUACCUAUCUCGAAGGAAUGUUGCCUCUCGUUGCUAUUUCCUCCUCCAGCCCCCCGCGGGUCGGAGGAGGACGUCGUAGCACUGCUUGUGUCCCGAUCAAGCCACACAUCGUUGUGAGAUUGUGACGGUCCACGAGUUGCUGCUCGAUUUCUCGGAUGCGGAACGCUAAGCGGGCGCGGAGUCUUCGGCCUCCGAUCGUCCAACUCGAAGCCUUUGUCGCUUGACGCGUACGACUGCCGUCGCCGCUGCGGGCUUUCGACCUCCAAGGUCGCUGGUCUCGCACGGCGCCGGCGUCGAAGAGGAAUGCUACCUGGUU
This 420-nucleotide unclassified non-coding RNA is filed under the name Neillia thibetica. RNAcentral describes it as "partial external transcribed spacer". Lineage: Eukaryota; Viridiplantae; Streptophyta; Magnoliopsida; Rosales; Rosaceae. The record is from RNAcentral.